This is an RNA transcript of Rhodamnia argentea, 1369 nucleotides long. It is a transcript of the gene named putative disease resistance protein At3g14460, with no coding region annotated. The transcript has 3 exons. NCBI's taxonomy places the organism in Eukaryota, Viridiplantae, Streptophyta, Magnoliopsida, Myrtales, Myrtaceae. The record is from RefSeq and is a predicted model, not a curated record.
UAUCAUCGAAAGGUGUCGUCGGUUCACAUCAUUUGUGGCUGGAGAAGGAGAGGUAGAGCUGUUGUGCAACCUCGAAAGGAUGGAAUUGAGGGAUUGUGCGAGUUUAGAAAAGCUUCCGGGCAAGAUGCACGCACCAAGGCAUUUAAGCAUUGAGAAUUGUCCAAAAAUAGUGGGACUAACCAUUCCUUCGGAUGGCCCCAGUAGUAAUAACUCGAUGCCUCAGCUUGAAUCUCUCGAGGUAAUUCAUUGUUAUUCUCUGACAUCCAUUUGGGUAGCCAAGGGUAGACUCGCUGCUCUAAAGACACUUUAUAUUAGUGAGUGUGAGAGAGUGGAGUCGCUAGAAGAGAUCUCCACCGGAGAAUCGCUGGAAUCUUUGACUAUUGCUUGGUGUGAGAAUUUGGGAAGCCUACCACGAUGCCUUCACGCGCUCUCCCAUCUCACUAAGUUGAUGAUAAGCGGGUGUCCAGCAUUAGAGAUAGAGGAGGACUUCCCUCCCCUUCCCAUCACCCUCUCGAAACUUGUUCUUUGGCAUUGUCCGAAGAUAAAGUCUAUUGCCAGCAGUAACAUUGCCAACUGUAAGAAUCUCACUCACUUGGAUAUAGCUAAUUGUCCAGCAUUGGAGAUAGAGGAGGACUUCCCUCCCCUUCCCACCACCCUCUCGACUCUUGAACUUUCGAGCUGUCCGAAGAUAAAGUGUCUACCAAAUCAGUGGCAUCAUCUUACCUCCCUCCAGUCAAUAUAUAUUUGUAAUUGCCCAAAUAUCAAAUGCUUCCCCGAAGGAGGUUUCCCUCCCAAUUUGCGGGUCCUUGAAAUCUGCGGGUACGAGAAUUUGAAGCAGCCAGUGAGAGAAUGGGGCUUACCCCUCCUCACAUCCCUCCAAUCUCUGACAAUUGGCUUUGGAAGGAGCAUGGGUGGAGGGGAGGCAGAGAAGGUGUGGUUUCCUCCGUCGGAGGAGGAUGACGAGGAGGAUGCGUGGAGUCUUGUCUUCCCUCCCUCUCUGACCUAUCUUUGCAUUUACAAUAUGAGGAAGGUGGAAAGACUAUCCAGCGGUCUUCGCAGCCAUCUCUCCUCUCUCACACAUUUAGUCAUUUAUGGCUGCCCGAAGUUGAGGGACUUGCCAGAGGAUGGCCUCCCUCCCUCCCUCCAAUAUCUGUCCGUAACUGGAUGCUCGAAUCUGAAAGAAGGAUGCUCAAAACUCACUGGCCACUAUUGGCCCCUCAUCCAAGACAUCCCCAGCAUCUACAUUGAUGGCGUUUGGACCCACUGAAUUGAUUCGUGCAUCAACACUAGAGUCAGUUUUAUAGGGUUCGGGUACUAAUGUGAUCUCUAUUGGUAAAAUCUCUUGGAAGGAUCACUUGCGAACGCUGUG